RNAcentral lists this ribosomal RNA (278 nucleotides) under uncultured Thiobacillus sp. RNAcentral's name for it is "partial 16S ribosomal RNA". It matches the Rfam family "Bacterial small subunit ribosomal RNA", at positions 1100 to 1382 of the family's 1533-position model. Lineage: Bacteria; Pseudomonadati; Pseudomonadota; Betaproteobacteria; Nitrosomonadales; Thiobacillaceae. The record is from RNAcentral.
AACCCUUAUCAUUAGUUGCUACGCAAGGGCACUCUAAUGAGACUGCCGGUGGACAAACCGGAGGAAGGUGGGGAUGACGUCAAGUCCUCAUGGCCCUUAUGGGUAGGGCUUCACACGUCAUACAAUGGUCGGUACAGAGGGUUGCCAAGCCGCGAGGCGGAGCCAAUACCCACAAAGCCGAUCGUAGUCCGGAUUGUUCUCUGCAACUCGAGAGCAUGAAGUCGGAAUCGCUAGUAAUCGCAGGUCAGCAUACUGCGGUGAAUACGUUCCCGGGUCUU